AUGGCUAAACUAGAGGCNGGGAAAGGCAAAUGGAAUUGCUGGUGUAGGGGUUAAAUCCGUUAAUAUCAGCAAGAACACUAAAUGCGAAAGCAAUUUGCUGGAACGGACCUGACGCUCAGGGACGAAAGCGUGGGGAGCGAAUGGGAUUAGAUACCCCAGUAGUCCACGCUGUAAACGAUGGAUGCUAAACAUUGGAAGUUAUCGACCCUUUCAGUGUUGUCAAUCUAAGGUAACCCGUUAAGCAUCCCGCCUGGGGAGUACGAGCGCAAGCUUAAAACUCAAAGGAAUAGACGGGGACCCGCACAAGCGGUGGAGCAUGUGGUUUAAUUCGACAAUGAGCGAAGAACCUCACCAAGACUUGACAUCUAGCUGCAAGCCCUGGAAACAGGGAAGCCUUCGAGGGUGCUAGACAGAUGCUGCAUGGUUGCCGUCAGCUCGUGUCGUGAGAUGUACCGUUAAGUCGGGAAACGAGCGCAACCCCUAUCCUAUGUUUUACAUGUCAUAGGAGACUGCCCGCGUUAAGUGGGAGGAAGGGGGGACGACGUCAAAUCAGCAUGGUUCUUAUGUCUUGGGCGACACACAUGCUACAAUGGAAAGGACAAAAGGACGGCCAAACCGCAAGGUGGAGCUAAUCCUUUAAACCUUUUCUCAGUUCGGAUUGAAGUCUGCAACUCGACUUCAUGAAGUUGGAAUCGCUAGUAAUCGUAGGUCAGCCACACUACGGUG
RNAcentral lists this ribosomal RNA (726 nucleotides) under uncultured Microgenomates group bacterium. RNAcentral describes it as "bacterial SSU rRNA". It matches the Rfam family "Bacterial small subunit ribosomal RNA", at positions 632 to 1364 of the family's 1533-position model. The record is from RNAcentral.